UACGUAGGGUGCGAGCGUUAAUCGGAAUUACUGGGCGUAAAGCGCGUGUAGGCGGCUCGGCAAGUCGGGUGUGAAAGCCCUGGGCUUAACCUAGGAAGUGCACUCGAAACUGCCAAGCUUGAGUUCUGGAGAGGAAGGCGGAAUUCUCGGUGUAGAGGUGAAAUUCGUAGAUAUCGAGAGGAACACCGGUGGCGAAGGCGGCCUUCUGGACAGCAACUGACGCUGAGACGCGAAAGCGUGGGGAGCAAACAGG
RNAcentral lists this ribosomal RNA (253 nucleotides) under uncultured bacterium. RNAcentral's name for it is "partial 16S ribosomal RNA". It matches the Rfam family "Bacterial small subunit ribosomal RNA", at positions 524 to 776 of the family's 1533-position model. The record is from RNAcentral.